GAUGAAGAACGUAGCGAAAUGCGAUAAGUAGUGUGAAUUGCAGAAUUCAGUGAAUCAUCGAAUCUUUGAACGCACAUUGCGCCCCUUGGUAUUCCAUGGGGCAUGCCUGUUCGAGCGUCAUUUGUACCUUCAAGCUUUGCUUGGUGUUGGGUGUUUGUCCAUUCUCUUGCAGAGGGACUCGCCUUAAAGUAAUUGGCAGCCAGUGUUUUGGUUUUGAAGCGCAGCACAAGUCGCGAUUCAAAGCUAUACGCCCGCUUCCACAAGCCUUUUUCACUUUUGACCUCGGAUCAGGUAGGGAUACCCGCUGAACUUAAGCAUAUCAAAAGCGGAGGA
RNAcentral lists this unclassified non-coding RNA (333 nucleotides) under soil metagenome. RNAcentral's name for it is "partial contains 5.8S ribosomal RNA, internal transcribed spacer 2, and large subunit ribosomal RNA". The stretch from base 1 to 120 matches the Rfam family "5.8S ribosomal RNA", at positions 35 to 154 of the family's 154-position model. The record is from RNAcentral.